This 22-nucleotide non-coding RNA is filed under the name Rattus norvegicus (Norway rat). The record is from RNAcentral. Lineage: Eukaryota; Metazoa; Chordata; Mammalia; Rodentia; Muridae.
UCCUGGGAUAGACAUGCUUGCU